This 364-nucleotide unclassified non-coding RNA is filed under the name soil metagenome. RNAcentral's name for it is "partial contains 5.8S ribosomal RNA, internal transcribed spacer 2, and large subunit ribosomal RNA". The stretch from base 1 to 120 matches the Rfam family "5.8S ribosomal RNA", at positions 35 to 154 of the family's 154-position model. The record is from RNAcentral.
GAUGAAGAACGCAGCGAAACGCGAUAAGUAAUGUGAAUUGCAGAAUUCAUUGAAUCAUCGAAUCUUUGAACGCACAUGGCGCCUUCCAGUAUCCUGGGAGGCAUGCCUGUCCGAGCGUCGUUUCAACCCUCGAGCCCCCGUCUUAGGGGGCCCGGCGUUGGGGUUCCACGCCUGGCGUGGUCCCUGAAAAUCAGCGGCGGACCCGUGGCGGCCCUUCCCUUGCGUAGUAGCUUACGCCUCGCAUCGGGAGCCCGCGGGCCUCUAGCCGUCAAAACCCCCUACAAGCCCGCCCCGCGCGGCACAAGGUUGACCUCGGAUCAGGUAGGAAUACCCGCUGAACUUAAGCAUAUCAAUAAGCGGAGGA